Molecule: ribosomal RNA, 579 nt
Filed under: uncultured bacterium
Lineage: Bacteria
Description: bacterial SSU rRNA
Rfam family: Bacterial small subunit ribosomal RNA
Source: RNAcentral
ACGGGUGAGUAACACGUGGAUAACCUACCUAUAAGACUGAGAUAACUUCGGGAAACCGGAGCUAAUACCGGAUAAUAUAUUGAACCGCAUGGUUCAAUAGUGAAAGACGGUUUUGCUGUCACUUAUAGAUGGAUCCGCGCCGCAUUAGCUAGUUGGUAAGGUAACGGCUUACCAAGGCAACGAUGCGUAGCCGACCUGAGAGGGUGAUCGGCCACACUGGAACUGAGACACGGUCCAGACUCCUACGGGAGGCAGCAGUAGGGAAUCUUCCGCAAUGGGCGAAAGCCUGACGGAGCAACGCCGCGUGAGUGAUGAAGGUCUUCGGAUCGUAAAACUCUGUUAUUAGGGAAGAACAAAUGUGUAAGUAACUAUGCACGUCUUGACGGUACCUAAUCAGAAAGCCACGGCUAACUACGUGCCAGCAGCCGCGGUAAUACGUAGGUGGCAAGCGUUAUCCGGAAUUAUUGGGCGUAAAGCGCGCGUAGGCGGUUUUUUAAGUCUGAUGUGAAAGCCCACGGCUCAACCGUGGAGGGUCAUUGGAAACUGGAAAACUUGAGUGCAGAAGAGGAAAGUGGAAUU